Molecule: long non-coding RNA, 1308 nt
Organism: Equus caballus (horse)
Lineage: Eukaryota; Metazoa; Chordata; Mammalia; Perissodactyla; Equidae
Source: Ensembl
GUGGGCGGAUGGACCGGAAGACGCUCAAGAGAUAGAGAACUGGGAGGACCAGUGAAGGGGCCGGUAAGCAGAUGCAUAAACUGACCAAAAGCCCAGCCAGACUUUGGGAUGGAAAAGGUCACCUUGGAGAGUGAAAGGAAGUGCUAUUAAUAAUUACGCUGGGACAGUAGGCGUUGUCCGGGACUGUCCUGGGCGAACCUGGAGUAUGGCCAUCCUGCCACAGAUGGGGGCUUUGGACAAGUCACUUCACUUCUCUGCAUGGACAUGGACAUGAUGGCAGGAUUGUCUCUCGGGGGCUCUCGUGAGGAUUAAAUGUGAUGCUGCAUGUGAGAGGCUACAGGGCUGGGGUGCCUCAGAUGCUCAAAAAGUGCUCGUUAUUAUACUGCUAUGAGUGACAACCACGGCAGCACUAGGCCCUGCCUCCGUCAUUGUCCUUCCAGUCCAUUCUCGGCUCACAGCAAGAGCUUCCAGACGCACACCUGAUCACACCGUCCACUGGCUCCAUCCCCGCCUCGGCGAGGUGGGACACCUGACCCGAGAUCAAGCCCCUAAGACCUGGCCUGGUUCUCUCCCAGGCCUUGGCUGUGCCCCCAUCACUGCCUCUCAGGGCAACCCCCCUUCCUCGUCACCCGAGCUUUCAGCGCCUCUGAGACUGCUCUAAAUUCUCCCCCGGACAAGGCACCUCGGAGCCUGACCUGGGGAAAGAGCUCCAACCGACUGGAGCCUCAGUCCUGCUGCUGUGCCACUUGAACAAGUGCUGGAAUUCUUUAUACCUCAGUUUCCCCAUCUGUCCAGCUGGGGAAAUAACCCCCGCCCUUGGCGGCCAGCAUGAGGAUUCAGGGAGCCAACGAAAGAGGUGAAGCACUGUGUGAAGGUAAAGCCCUUGUCUCCUCCACCUGUGUGUAAAGAUGGCUCCGGUCCCCAGCCAGGACAGCGCUCAGACUAUUUCCUGCAGCCACACCUGCCUCCUCCACACGGAUCCUUAGCUCCAAGCCUUUGCUUGUGCGGUCUCCUGCCAGGUGUGGGUGCACUGCCACUGCCCUCCCCUCUGCCUCUGGGUCCUUUCCAGCCCCACUCAGCUAGCCCUCCGUCCUCUGCAGGCUGUGUGAUGGGCAGCCCGCAGGACUGCCUGCCUGCCUGGCCUCCCGGAGCUGGAUGGCAGAACAACAUGAGGGCCGGCUCAGAGUCUAUCUCCCCUCCUGGAGGGUGGCACCGGCACUAUGCAUGGCUGAGUCCCUGCCCCUCACGGGCAGGGUUAAGCGGCACCCAGUAAAGUCUUCUGAAACCAUCCGUCCCAGAUGUGACCUC